GAUGAACGCUGGCGGCGUGCCUAAUACAUGCAAGUCGAGCGAACAGACGAGGAGCUUGCUUCUCUGACGUUAGCGGCGGACGGGUGAGUAACACGUGGAUAACCUACCUAUAAGACUGGGAUAACUUCGGGAAAACGGAGCUAAUACCGGCUUAUAUAUUGAACCGCAUGGAUCAAUACUGAAAGACGGUUUUGCUGUCACUUAUCCAUGGUUCCGCGCCGGAUUAGCUAGUUGGUAAGGUAACGGCUUACCAAGGCAACGAUGCGUAGCCGACCUGAGAGGGUGACCAGCCACACUGGAACUGAGACACGGUCCAGACUCCUACGGGAGGCAGCAGUAGGGAAUCUUCCGCAAUGGGCGAAAGCCUGACGGAGCAACGCCGCGUGAAUGAUGAAGGUCUUCGGAUCGUAAAACUCUGUUAGUAGGGAAGAACAAAUGUGUAAGUAACUAUGCACGUCUUGACGGUACCUAAUCAGGAAGCCACGGCUAACUACGUG
RNAcentral lists this ribosomal RNA (497 nucleotides) under uncultured bacterium. RNAcentral's name for it is "partial 16S ribosomal RNA". It matches the Rfam family "Bacterial small subunit ribosomal RNA", at positions 28 to 507 of the family's 1533-position model. The record is from RNAcentral.